Molecule: ribosomal RNA, 460 nt
Filed under: uncultured bacterium
Lineage: Bacteria
Description: partial 16S ribosomal RNA
Rfam family: Bacterial small subunit ribosomal RNA
Source: RNAcentral
CCUACGGGAGGCAGCAGUGAGGAAUAUUGGUCAAUGGACGAGAGUCUGAACCAGCCAAGUAGCGUGAAGGAGGACUGCCCUAAGGGUUGUAAACUUCUUUUAUAUGGGAAUAAAAUGUUCCACGUGUGGGAUUUUGUAUGUACCAUAUGAAUAAGGAUCGGCUAACUCCGUGCCAGCAGCCGCGGUAAUACGGAGGAUCCGAGCGUUAUCCGGAUUUAUUGGGUUUAAAGGGAGCGUAGGUGGAUUGUUAAGUCAGUUGUGAAAGUUUGCGGCUCAACCGUAAAAUUGCAGUUGAAACUGGCAGUCUUGAGUACAGUAGAGGUGUGCGGAAUUCGUGGUGUAGCGGUGAAAUGCUUAGAUAUCACGAAGAACUCCGAUUGCGAAGGCAGUUCACUGUACUGCAACUGACACUGAGGCUCGAAAGUGUGGGUAUCAAACAGGAUUAGAUACCCUUGUAGUC